Molecule: transfer RNA, 68 nt
Filed under: Cephalonomia gallicola
Lineage: Eukaryota; Metazoa; Arthropoda; Insecta; Hymenoptera; Bethylidae
Description: tRNA-Tyr
Source: RNAcentral
AAUAUUGUGUCUGAUAAAAGGAAUUAAACUGUAAAUUUAAUAAUAGAAUAUUUUUAUUCUCAAUAUUA